AGCGAACGCUGGCGGCAGGCUUAACACAUGCAAGUCGAGCGGGCGUAGCAAUACGUCAGCGGCAGACGGGUGAGUAACGCGUGGGAACGUACCUUUUGGUUCGGAACAACACAGGGAAACUUGUGCUAAUACCGGAUAAGCCCUUACGGGGAAAGAUUUAUCGCCGAAAGAUCGGCCCGCGUCUGAUUAGCUAGUUGGUGAGGUAACGGCUCACCAAGGCGACGAUCAGUAGCUGGUCUGAGAGGAUGAUCAGCCACAUUGGGACUGAGACACGGCCCAGACUCCUACGGGAGGCAGCAGUGGGGAAUAUUGGACAAUGGGCGAAAGCCUGAUCCAGCAAUGCCGCGUGAGUGAUGAAGGCCUUAGGGUUGUAAAGCUCUUUUACCCGGGAUGAUAAUGACAGUACCGGGAGAAUAAGCCCCGGCUAACUCCGUGCCAGCAGCCGCGGUAAU
This 452-nucleotide ribosomal RNA is filed under the name uncultured bacterium. RNAcentral's name for it is "bacterial SSU rRNA". It matches the Rfam family "Bacterial small subunit ribosomal RNA", at positions 29 to 524 of the family's 1533-position model. The record is from RNAcentral.